This 400-nucleotide long non-coding RNA is filed under the name Ricinus communis (castor bean). RNAcentral describes it as "long non-coding RNA (RCOM_LNC000581)". The record is from RNAcentral. Lineage: Eukaryota; Viridiplantae; Streptophyta; Magnoliopsida; Malpighiales; Euphorbiaceae.
UGGAUUGGAGCCAUUGUAGUCACUGUACAGAAGUCAAAUGGAGGCGAAGUCAUUGCUGCAGUUAUGAGCAUUCUCUUUGGAGCUAUGUAGGUGUUAUUUCUCCUCUUCAUAUUUCUGCCAUAGAACAGACAAUUAAGUGAAAUAUAUAUUUUCUAUAAUCAUUCCUUAUAUUAAUGCAGAUCACUCACUUAUGCUGCUCCGGACAUGCAAAUUUUCAAUCAGGCAAAAGCUGCAGGAACUGAAGUUUUCAAGGUGAUCAACAGGAAGCCACUCAUAAGACACAUAUCAACAGGAAGAACACUUAUUAAGGUUGAAGGAAACAUUGAAAUAAAAGAUGUAUACUUUGCUUACCCAUCUCGGCAGGACAAUUUGAUACUUAGAGGCCUUUCAUUGUCAAUCC